Molecule: ribosomal RNA, 473 nt
Filed under: uncultured bacterium
Lineage: Bacteria
Description: SSU rRNA
Rfam family: Bacterial small subunit ribosomal RNA
Source: RNAcentral
AGGACGAACGCUGGCGGCGUGCUUAACACAUGCAAGUCGAGCGGAAAGGCCCUUCGGGGUACUCGAGCGGCGAACGGGUGAGUAACACGUGAGUAAUCUGCCCCUAGCUCUGGGAUAGCUCCGGGAAACCGGGAUUAAUACCGGAUACGACCACCUUAGACAUCUUUUGUGGUGGAAAGAAUUUCGGCUAGGGAUGAGCUCGCGGCCUAUCAGCUUGUUGGUGGGUAACGGCCUACCAAGGCGACGACGGGUAGCCGGCCUGAGAGGGCGACCGGCCACACUGGGACUGAGACACGGCCCAGACUCCUACGGGAGGCAGCAGUGGGGAAUAUUGCGCAAUGGGCGAAAGCCUGACGCAGCGACGCCGCGUGGGGGAUGAAGGCCUUCGGGUUGUAAACCCCUUUCAGCAGGGACGAAGCGAAAGUGACGGUACCUGCAGAAGAAGCGCCGGCUAACUACGUGCCAGCAGCCGC